UGGAGAUUAGUGUAAUUGGUAACACGAGUGACUCUGACUCACUUAUUCUGGGUUCAAGUCCCAGGUCCCCAAC
This 73-nucleotide transfer RNA is filed under the name Symmachiella dynata. RNAcentral describes it as "Planctomycetes bacterium Mal52 tRNA-Gln". It matches the Rfam family "tRNA". From Rfam's summary of the family: Transfer RNA (tRNA) molecules are approximately 80 nucleotides in length. Their secondary structure includes four short double-helical elements and three loops (D, anti-codon, and T loops). Lineage: Bacteria; Pseudomonadati; Planctomycetota; Planctomycetia; Planctomycetales; Planctomycetaceae. The record is from RNAcentral.